GCAGAUGGUGGCUGCAGCCCCAGCCAGCUGCGUGGGAGACACUUAAAGACUUCCAUUUGAGCUCUAUUAACUCACUUGCCUGCAAUACAGGUUUCGCCUUUACUGAAAUAGCACUUCGAAGUUGAACUGUUUCACGAACUACUAUCGUAGUCCCUGAGGACCGACCGCAAGGACAAUAAAGGGGCUGCCUCAUGCCGUGGUACCAGGCUUCUCCCAGAGCAAGCGGUCCAAGAGAGAGAAAGAGAACAUCCAAGAUAGAAGCCAUGAUCUUUUUAAAAUCUAAUGUCAAAGUAACAAUUUAUCACUUCUGCUGCAUUCUGUAUGUUAAAAGCAAGUCAUUAGGUCCAGCCCACACUCAAGGGAAAGGAUUACACAAAGGUACAGCUACCAGGGGGUGGGAUCAUUGGCGGUCAUCUUAGAGGCUGCCUCUUAUAUGAGGAUACAGUAGCAGACAAAACAGAUAAUUAAGCCUUCAAUUCAUGAAGCUUACAUUCUUGUGGGGAAAGACAGACAAUAAGAAAAUAAGUAAAUUAUUUGUUAUGAUAGAAGGUGAUAAAAACAAUGGGAAACGGUAAAGCAAGAAAGGACCCUGGCUUUUGCUCUAAAUGGGAUGAAAACAACUGAAGAUUUUUAAGAAAAGAGGGCAGCAUGAUCUGAUUUCCUUCCUUUACAAAAAGGAUCAAGCUAGUUGCUGGGUUGAGAAAAGACUGAAGAAGACCAAGGUGGAAGCAAUUAGAUUAAUUGGAGGCAACAAUCUAGGUCCAAGAUGAUGGCAACUUAGACCCCAGUGGUAGCAGUGGAAGUGGUCUAAGGUGGAGAGAAUUUGGACAAACACACACACAUGACAAGCAUUUUGGCCUUAAUGUGAUAUAGAUGCAUCCUUGAAUCCUCCACAUCCUGAAAAAUCACACACUAAAACAGGACUAUGAAAAAACCAGAGAUGGGAAUGGACCACUGAAAACCUAGGCAAAUUUAUAACCGGAGACCACAACAAUAACAAUUUAAAUAAAAAUACAGUUAAAAUUCCUGAUUUAAA
Molecule: long non-coding RNA, 1036 nt
Organism: Choloepus didactylus (southern two-toed sloth)
Lineage: Eukaryota; Metazoa; Chordata; Mammalia; Pilosa; Megalonychidae
Exons: 2
Source: RefSeq, a predicted model, not a curated record